UGCGUAGGCGGCGUUGUAAGUCAGAAGUGAAAGCUUUCAGCUCAACUGGAAAAUUGCUUUUGAUACUGCAGUGCUUGAAUCAGGUUGAGGUUAGCGGAAUGUGACAUGUAGCGGUGAAAUGCAUAGAUAUGUCAUAGAACACCAAUUGCGAAGGCAGCUAACUAGGCCUGUAUUGACGCUGAGGCACGAAAGCGUGGGGAGCGAACAGGAUUAGAUACCCUGGUAGUCC
This 229-nucleotide ribosomal RNA is filed under the name uncultured bacterium. Its description in RNAcentral is "partial 16S ribosomal RNA". It matches the Rfam family "Bacterial small subunit ribosomal RNA", at positions 568 to 796 of the family's 1533-position model. The record is from RNAcentral.